RNAcentral lists this ribosomal RNA (253 nucleotides) under uncultured bacterium. RNAcentral's name for it is "partial 16S ribosomal RNA". It matches the Rfam family "Archaeal small subunit ribosomal RNA", at positions 474 to 727 of the family's 1478-position model. The record is from RNAcentral.
UACCAGCACCCCGAGUGGUCGGGGCGAUUAUUGGGCCUAAAGCAUCCGUAGCCGGUUUUACAAGUCCUCCGUUAAAUCCAACUGCUUAACAGAUGGGCCGCGGAGGAUACUAUAAGACUAGGAGGCAGGAGAGGCAAGCGGUACUCAGUGGGUAGGGGUAAAAUCCGUUGAUCCAUUGAAGACCACCAGUGGCGAAGGCGGCGUGCCAGAAUGCGCUCGACGGUGAGGGAUGAAAGCUGGGGGAGCAAACCGG